ACGGGUGAGUAAUGCCUAGGAAUCUGCCUGGUAGUGGGGGACAACGUUUCGAAAGGAACGCUAAUACCGCAUACGUCCUACGGGAGAAAGCAGGGGACCUUCGGGCCUUGCGCUAUCAGAUGAGCCUAGGUCGGAUUAGCUAGUUGGUGGGGUAAUGGCUCACCAAGGCGACGAUCCGUAACUGGUCUGAGAGGAUGAUCAGUCACACUGGAACUGAGACACGGUCCAGACUCCUACGGGAGGCAGCAGUGGGGAAUAUUGGACAAUGGGCGAAAGCCUGAUCCAGCCAUGCCGCGUGUGUGAAGAAGGUCUUCGGAUUGUAAAGCACUUUAAGUUGGGAGGAAGGGCAGUAAGCGAAUACCUUGCUGUUUUGACGUUACCGACAGAAUAAGCACCGGCUAACUCUGUGCCAGCAGCCGCGGUAAUACAGAGGGUGCAAGCGUUAAUCGGAAUUACUGGGCGUAAAGCGCGCGUAGGUGGUUUGUUAAGUUGGAUGUGAAAGCCCCGGGCUCAACCUGGGAACUGCAUCCCAAACUGGCAAGCUAGAGUACGGUAGAGGGUGGUGGAAUUUCCUGUGUAGCGG
RNAcentral lists this ribosomal RNA (583 nucleotides) under Pseudomonas sp. StFRB376. Its description in RNAcentral is "bacterial SSU rRNA". It matches the Rfam family "Bacterial small subunit ribosomal RNA", at positions 102 to 681 of the family's 1533-position model. The record is from RNAcentral. Lineage: Bacteria; Pseudomonadati; Pseudomonadota; Gammaproteobacteria; Pseudomonadales; Pseudomonadaceae.